This 261-nucleotide ribosomal RNA is filed under the name uncultured archaeon. Its description in RNAcentral is "partial 16S ribosomal RNA". It matches the Rfam family "Archaeal small subunit ribosomal RNA", at positions 748 to 1008 of the family's 1478-position model. The record is from RNAcentral.
UAGCCGUAAACGAUACUCGCUAGGUGUCGGCCACGGUGCGACCGUUGUCGGUGCCGUAGGGAAGCCGUGAAGCGAGCUACCUGGGAAGUACGGCCGCAAGGCUGAAACUUAAAGGAAUUGGCGGGGGAGCACAACAACGGGUGGAGCUUGCGGUUUAAUUGGAUUCAACGCCGGACAACUCACCAGGAGCGACGGUUACAUGAAAGCCGAGAUGAAGACUCUGCUAGAUUUUCAGAGAGGAGGUGCAUGGCGUCAGUGACU